Molecule: long non-coding RNA, 13999 nt
Filed under: Homo sapiens (human)
Lineage: Eukaryota; Metazoa; Chordata; Mammalia; Primates; Hominidae
Description: non-protein coding NALT1:10
Source: RNAcentral
GCGCCUCCCCGAGCUGAGCCGCGCGUCCCGAGCCCAGCCUCUCCGGGGAGGAGGGACCCGGCGGCGCGGCGUGGGUCGGGAGCGGGCGCCUGGGACUACUUCUCGUUUGAAAGUUUUCAGAGGCCAAAAGUUUGAGCCGGGGCUGCGGAAGGAUCCGGCUCUGGCGGUUGCCGCGCUCGGCGACAACUGGCGACUGAAAUUUGCAUGUGAAUAAGCGGAGGAGCCCGGGGCGGAAUGGGGAGGGCGAGGCCGCGGACAGCCGUGUGCACCGUGCGCUGGGCCGGGCGGGGAGCAGCUGAGGCCACGUUGGGGGACCCCGGGCCCGGGGCAGGGCUCUGGGAGAGUGGCCUAGCCGUGUGUGCGCCCCUAGCCCAGCGGCUUCACUCCCUCCCGAGGGCCCCGUGGCCGCGGCUUUAGGCGUCCAGAGGAUCGAUCGCCGCCAGACAUCCCUGGCCGUGAUUGCCCGAGCACUUGACCGCGAGGGAUGGGGGCGCCGCGGCCUCUGGGCAGGGGACUCCGGGCGCCCCGAGGGAGCAGCCGGGACCAGUGCCUCGCGGACGGAUUGUGCCCCGCUCCCCCAAGGGGGACCCGCGUCGACACGCUCCUCGGUCACCGUCCUCCUCCUGCCCGGGCGCCGCCUGCCUAAGGUGGCCCCAGAAAGCACAAACGGGUCGGGCGGAUCUGCCGCUGGCGCCGGCGCAGCCCUUCCCACGUGCUCCUUCCGGCUGAUUUAUUUCUCCACCACGAUGCCAGGCACGGGCACCCUGUGCCAAGCCUGGUUAAGCGCCAGGAGUCCAAAAUGCCUGCCAUAGUCCCUGCGCAAAGUUCACGGCCUCGUGCCAGGGACAGACAGCGCCCCCUCCCCACCCCAACACAGGGUGGUGAGUGCGAUGGCAGAAGGCGCGUGUCCCGGCGCCCCUCCUGGAGUAGGAGGGCUAAGCCUGCCCUGCGGGGAGACCGAAAGGCUGGGAGGGACCUAGGACUGUGGGGGCCUGGGGGGAGGGCUGCAGAAACCCCAGAGCAUGGUGGCAGAGGCAGGCACAGAAAGCAGGACAAAUCUCACACCUGACCCCAGCAAGCCUUUCCUGGCACACCUCUUGCCAAAUGCUGAGCACUCUGGAAACAGCCAGUGCAGGCGGCCUGUCCCGCCCCUGUAGCUGCUGCUGGGAGCCUCCCUCGCCUGCGUCCUCCCAGAAUCUGGCCUCACUUCUGCAGGCCUGGGGUAACAUCUUGGGGUCAGCGCCCCAGGAGAGGAGGCGCCUGGAGGCAGCAGAGAUGUUUAUGUAACAGCAGCCAGGCAGCCUGGAGGAGCAGAUUUUCCAUAGAAGGAAGCGCGGGGCUGUGCAGCUCCCAGGCUGAGGACUCUGCCCACCACGACGUCCUCUGCUCCUGGUGGGUGGGGGUGGGGUGGGGCAUAGGGAGGCCCGAAGGCCUCAGGCCUGGUGCUGAUCGGGUGCGGGUGCGACUGCCUGUGUGCCUCCAUUGGCAUCUCUGCCUGUGGGCCCCAGGCCAGAAGUAAUGGCCCAUGUAGCCCAGGCCCGGGGGCCAGUCCUCAGCAUUUUGCGGAGGGGCGGCCUGGGAGGGGAGGAGGGGAUCCCUGGAUAGGGGGUCUCCCCUGGUCUGCCCCAGCUGUGCCGACAGCACCUCCACCUUGGGCCUCCAUCCUCUACCAGCAGAGAAGAGAGUGGCCCAUUCGGUGUCCACCCGUCAGGCCACCCAGCAGCCAGGCACGCUCAUAAGCCCGCGUUACGGAUGGUGCGGCCGGGUGCACAGGCCCGAGGGAAGCACAGGCCUCGGCCUCCCAGCUCCCAACCCCUGCACCACCCACAGCCGGGAGUACCCCAUGGACAGCUGUGGCCGAGGAGAAGCCAGGGAUGAGGGGGAUGGGCCUCACCUCCCCACCAGCCUGGGAAGGGGGUAGGCCCCUGGCAAGUAGGUGAGAAGCUUUUUCAUUCACAAGUUGUCCGGGCUCCCCAUUCCUCUUUGUCAGGCCAGCGGGUGUGGGCAGUCGGGGGAGGCUGGGGUCCUGACACAACAGGAGUACAUCUGCUGGCCUAGGGCCUGGAGACCUUCUCCUACAGGUCGGGAGGCAGCCCUGGGCAGCGGGCAUUGCGGGGACUAAAGAGAAACAAGAGCAGGUUGUGUGCAGGGCACCCCAGCCACUCCAGAAACCCAAUGGGAGGGUGGGGGCUAGGACCCCAAGAAGCUGAAUUGGGGUGCAGUGCCGCCAGGCCUCCCCUGUAGGAGUCACUUUGGGCUUCCUGUCCCAACUUGUGGUGGGAGCUGGGGCAAGGUUCCAGGGGUACCCCGAAUGAAUGGGGCUGUUCCCAAGCUGGCCAGGGAGCCUGGAAGCAGAUGAGAUGGGGCCGCAGAGCCUGGUUUGCGGAGGGGAGAGGCAGACGUGUCCUGCAGCCCUCUCUUCUUCAGAGGCCCCCUGCGGGUGCUGAGGGGAGAGUGGCUUAGGCGUUGCACCCCAGGAGACUGAACUGGGUCAGUUCCCCCUUGUUUGCUGCCAGAGAAAUGGGGGUACCAUUGUCAGGGUGAGCUAAGGAGGCCCUGCUGACAUUGGCCCAACCAGGCCCCUCCUUUGCGGCUGCUGUGGGGACUUUCGAGAGCAGAGCACACCCCUAAGUGCGUGGAGAGGAGGGAAGCUGAGGCUCAGAGACAUCAUGAGGAUGCCAGCUCAAGGCCCAGCCAGGCCUUGGUCCUCAGCUGCUGUCAUCCAGUAGGGUAAGUGGGACCCCCAGGAGGUGUUGGGGGACACUCCUCCCCUCCCCCACACUCACAGUCUGUUCACCGCCCAAGGCAGCAGGCUGGACUCGGUGCAGGGACCAUGGCUUGGCGUGGCCAGGUUGGAGUGGCCCCUGGGACUGAAAGCAGGGGGCGUGGGGGCUCUGAGGCGGGGCCGAGUGCGGGGACGUCCUGUGGCGGGUACCCUGCUGGGUCCUGGGUGGGGGCCACCACCAGGCAGCUGUGGGAACAUUCCAGACCACCUAGGAGUAGGGCCCCUUCACCGUUUGAAGCUGACUGUAAAAAACAUCUGACCUGUGUGCAAAGCUCAAGCCCAGAGGCCUCCAGGGUGUCCAGCCUCCAGGGUGCCUCCUACGCAGCCUCCACGUCCCCAUCCACUGCAGCCCCUGACCAUCGGGCACACCGUGGGGCCUUCGCUGGCCGCCGGGCCUCAGGUUCUGCUGCACCAAGUGAUUUUUAAAGCCCCAUCUGCCUUUCUCCACUUAUAAAGAACUUGGGACAUUUCCUCGAGGUUGGGCAUUUUUCCAGAUGUGGUUUCAGUGUCUCGCUUGCUACCUGGUCCCCUGUGCUGGGCGGUCCGCUGUGACGCACCUGGCAGUCCUUGCUCUAGGAUGGAUUCGGGCCGGCCCUUGUUCUGAGAACAGAGAACGGCCCUUGUUCUGAGGAGGCUGGGGUCUGGAAUCUGCUUCCUGGUCCCCUGCUGUGUGCAGACAGCCACCGUCACCCAGGCCCAGGGGUGCCUGCAGGUGCUGGGCAUCUCACCCUGGCCCCCACAGGGGCUCCCCAUGCCCUGCACCCCUCGGUCUGUGCCGGGGACUUCCCUGCUCUGCUGUUGCAGGCCUCGUCCUUUGCCGAGGGGGUCUCUUUCCCACGUGUCCCUGAGACUCCUCAGCCAUCCCAGAGGCUCUCGGCCGUCUGAGCACCCCUGACCAUGAAGCCUUCCUGGCCCACUCUCUGUGUGUGAGGCAGAGCCCAUCCCUACCAUUCCGACCCACACCAGAGGCUCCGGAAGGUUUGCUGACUGACCUGUGACUGCAAGAAGCUGAAGGAAUGUGGGCGCAGACCCGGCAGGGGCUUUUCUUGGUGCAAAGUCAACUGGCUGUCCAUGCAAGCCUGCUGCUGUGGCCAGCCCUCCCGCCAGGCGCCUGGUACCCUCCCUGGACCCAGUUGCCAGGACAGUGAUCCCCAGCUGUGGCCAGGACUCUGCCCGGGGCCCUGUCUACUCAGUGUCUCCAGUGGUCCCCAUGCAGAAACUGCCCCCCUUGCUGCCCAUGAGGCAUGGGAUAGGGUCAGCAUCCGAGAGGCAGGCCCUGCUGUUCCCCUCUGCACAGAGGCUGGGGGAGUGAGUUGCCCGGGCAAGUCCCCGGGCAGGCACUGGGCCUCCUGAGCAGGUGAGCUGAGAAGGCCCCAGCUGGUGUAGGCCUCGAGAGCUGCAGGACUGGCCAUGGGGCAGACCUGGCAUUGUCAUUCUAGAGCUGGGCCUGGGGGGUGGCUGGUGCAGUGCAGAUCUCAGGUGGAGGCCACCUGCCCGUCCUUUCCACGUGGCUCAGGGCUCAGACCCACCUGCCUGUCCCUGGAAGCCCCUAGACUGCUCAGAGCACAGACCUCAGUGGGAAAGACAGUAGAUAGGCCUGGGUAUGGUCUCCCAGCCCUGAGAAGUGGGGAGCCCACUCAGACCUUUCCAGGACCCCAGGUCCCCUCAGCAGCCCACAGAGCGUGGGUGGAGCCUGGGCUGGGGUUGGGUCACUUGGGAGCCAAAGGCCCAUUUCUGCUGCUUCCAGGGAGUCCCAGGGAGACGGCAGAGGCAGUGCCUGGCUGGGGCCCUGGUUGGCGUGCCGUUUGAGGGGUGCAUGCACUGGGAAGUUGGCCAGGCCUGCCCAAAUCAGGGGGCUUCCAGGAGGAGAGACAUCAGGAGGAUGGGCACAGAGGCGGCUUAGCACCAGGGCUGGCACCUCCAGGUAGGGGCUGUGGGGGGCUGGACCAGACAGGGAGGCUGUCACGAUGCCUGGCUGUUGGAUGGGGGCACAGAGGCUCUGAGUGGGGUGGCAGAGCUUGGCCACCAGGUCCAUCUGCACCCCCCAUGCCCCCUCACUACCCCCAGACCCCCAUGAUCCCAAACUACUCAGUCCCAGGGACCCCUGCAGAGCCUGUGGUGGGGGUGAUCUUCCACCCUGCCUGGCCCCUGCCCACCUCACCUCAGAACUUUCUCCAAAAAGUAAGAGCCCCGGGGGACGAAACUUCGAGGCUCCACCCCUUGGGCUCUGGUACAAACCCCGAGCCUCCUCCGAGGGCUGAGUCACUGGGAAAGCCGGGAUGGGCUGGCCCCUCCCCCUCCCUCUCCUUCCUUCCUCCUUCCCCCUUUCUCGGUCUCCCUCUUUUUCUCUUUGCUUUACUUCUCUUUCUUGCCUCCCUCUCUCCCUCUCUUCUUUCGUUCCUUUCAUCUUCUUCCCUUCCUCCGUCUUUGCCUUUCUUCUUUUCUGAGGGUAAAAAUAGCUGGAAAACCCCCUUAAAAAAGUUUAUUUUAAUCUUAGAGGGACAAUGUUGGUGUCCCAAAGCACAGUCCUUUGCCCCGGAGGAGCCACCGGCAGAGCCAGGAGCCCCUGAAGGACUUUGACCACACCCCCCACCCCACCCCGACCUGUGCCUGGUGCCCCAAGUGGAGCCUGGGCCAUCCUUGACCUCACCGCUGGGGUGAUGGAGAAGCAGCCGCCCGAGGCGAGAGUUUCUCAGGUGGCCGGGGUUUCCCCCCAUUUGCUCCAGACACAUUUAAACAAGCUGAGAACUUCCGUCCCCCCAUACUCCCCCCCGCGGACCCCCACGGACCCCCUCUGCAAAUGAACAUGGGCCUGGAAAUCGGGGUGUGGGUUACAGAGAGCACGGGGAAUUCUGCUCGUGAAGUAACACGGAGCACGAACAUAAGCAGGUACCGCACAUCUGCGAGCUAUUCGGGUCUCCGGGGGAAGGCAAAAAGCCCCAACAAGCCUUAAGUAAGACCAGGACGCUUCUAUAGUUUUGCUUUGACAGCUAAGGAAAAAAUCUGCCAAAAACCAGAGGCGCUGCUGAGUGUUGGCGUGGGAAUGCUAGUUUAGUCAGAGCCUUGCUCUGGGCCAUUUAAAUAAAAACAGACAUGUUGGUGGCAAAUGCCAGUUGAACACGCAGGAGAGCGGUGCUUCUCGGGCCCGGAGAAGGGUUUGCAGCUGCACUCUCUCUUCCCUUUUCUCUUGGCCUCCCCAGCCUUCUUAUCAUCACGAUCAGCAUUUCACUGGUAAACAUUUGGUGCAAUAAUUUUCAAAAAUCAGCAAGAAAAGUCUGAGCGUUUCAUGUGGCUGUGACUGCGUGGCCCCAGCUGGAAGCAUGGAUUCCCAGCGCCUCCCAGAGCCUGUCUCCGAGGGAUACUCUAAUCACUUGAGGGCCUUUGCACGACAUAAAUCAGACCGACUAUCUCUAGAGUGGAGAGGGGGAUAAACUCACUUGUAGCAAGUGAAGGCCAGAGGCUGCCCUGGGAUGGCAUUGCCUGUUCCCAGGGGCUUGUGGUGGUGCAGCAGACAUGGGGACCCCUGGGCCCCUUCCCCUCCUUGCUGGGGAUGCCACACAGACCCACGUUCAGGGACCUGAAUUCAGAGCCUGCCCCAGGGGUGGCGAAUGUAUCUGGGACACUGAGGACCCCCCUACCGGGUGCAUCUCAUGGCCUUUUGGUCUUUUUUUUUGAGACGGAGUCUCACUUUGUUGCCCAGGCUGGAGUGUCAUGGGGCGAUCUCCGCUCACUACCACCUCCGCCUCCCGGGUUCAAGCAAUUCUCCUGUCUCAGCCUCCGAGUAGCUGGGAUUACAGGUAUGUGCCACCACGCCAGCUAAUUUUUCUAUUUUUAAUAGAGAUAGGGUUUCACCAUGUUGGUCAGGCUGGUCUUGAACUCCUAACCUCGGGUGAUCUGCCUGCCUUGGCCUCCCGAAGUGUUGGGAUUACAGGCGUGAGCCACUGCACCUGGCCAGCCUUUUGGUCUUGAAGGGUCUCUGGGAGGGCCUCAGAGAAUGUCUUGGUUUCCUCACUCUUGGGUUCCCAUCGACUGAGGUCAGGGCUGGGAAGGGGUGAUGAGCCCAGGACUCUUCUGGCGAGAGCGAGGGUCUAUGUUGGGGGGCUCCCUUCUGCCACCUCUCCUUGGUGACAUGGGGCUGGCUGGAGAGUCCCUCCGUGCCUGGGAGUUCCUCAGUGUAGGGGGGGAAGGGGGCCACUGCAAUGAAUCUGACACCAGCCCCCUCUCUCUCCGCCCUGCUGGCAGCCCUCACUCAUAUGGGGGGCGGGUCUGUCCUCCUUUCCCCAAAGCUGGGGGUCCUGAGUGUGGUUGGGGUAACGUCUGGUCCUCCUUAGAACAGUGGGGCUUGGAAUUCAUUCAAGGGAAGAAGAGUGAAGGAACGCAGAUGCCGACUGCAUGGAGCCCCCCCGGGCUGCAGCCCCUAGAGCCUGGGCGCUCUGUGAGCCAGAAAGAGAACGGCUGGGGAGAGGGCUGUGUGAGGCCCUGUUCUUCCAAGACCGCUGCGGAGGACCGACGGGGCCCAGGGACCCUGACUGAGGUGUGCCGAGCACAGCAGCUCUGGACAGGCCGCACCGGCCUCUCUGUCUGUCAUCUGUCCACCUGUUGGUGGGCAGGAACAGACCUGAUGCUGUAAGAAGAGGCCCCCAGGACCCUGCCUCUCCCAUUGGCUGAGCCUGGACUGUGGAGCCAGCCGCCCUCACACUGGGCACAGAUGACCGACUUAGGUUUUGAGAAGAUCCAAACAGCAGCAGGACGUGCACCUGGUAGGGGUAGGAGGGCCUCCCCUGGACUCAAAAGUGUAUUCGCGGAGCCCCUUCCCUGCAGCGUAGGCUCUGGGGGGACAGUGGCCAGGACGGAGGCCCUCGUGGAAAGGGGGAGAUGUGAACAGUGAGCCUCCUGCAUGCAGGCAUCUGGGAAAGAACAUUCCAGCCAAGUGGCUCUGAGCACACCCCGACCCUGGCCACCCUGGCCCUGUGGACCAACCCUGGGGCCCAGGAUUAAUGACAGCCAGUGCUCGCUGGUGCCUCCAGCCUGGGCCAGGCCUGUGGGCUGGUCCCUUCAAUGAUGGGGCAAGCUCAGCCCCGUCCACACCCUUCUCCUCCUCCUCUGUGCUUCCCUCCACCCCCAGGAGUGGGCUCCAGGUCUGUCACUCGUCACUCAUGGGGGGCUGUGGGUUGACUCGUAUUCCCCCAAAAGACUCGCUGUAUACCCCCAGAGCUUGUGAGCAGGACCUGUUUUGGAGAUGGGUCUUUGCAGAUGUCGUCGAGUUAAGACAAGGCCAUGCUGGAGUGGGGCCUGCCCUAAUCCAACGACUGGGGCCCUUGGCAGGAGAGGGAGGUUUGGGGAGAAGGCGCUGGGAAGACAGGCAGAGGCUGGAGACAGUGCAGCCCCAAGCUGGGAGCACAGGGGUUGCCGGCACCCAACAGAAGCUGGAGGAGGUGGGAAGGAUCCUCCCUAGAGCCUUGGGAGGGGGCCCGGUCCUGUGACACCCAGAUUUUGGAUUUCUGGCCUUCGGAACUGAGAGAGCACACAUUUCUGCGGUUUGAAGCCACCAAAUUUUUGGUAAUUUGUUCUGGCCAGGAAAUUAAUACCAGGGAUAAAGGUGUUUUAAUGCAGACAAAGACAGUUUUUGAAUUAACCAAGCUUUGCGCAAGGCUGCCGGGAUUGACUGGGGGAAGUGAGGGACUCAGCAGCUUCCCCGACGCUCGCCAGGCACCGGCCUCCAUACACGCUUGCUGGCGGUGGCUACGGCAGGUCGCUCUUCAGGUGAAACCACAUAAUGAGCAGCCUUAAGCCUGUCGAUUUACACAGCAGAGGCUGCCUGGCCUGGCGCUCUUCCUGGCUGGAGGACUCUGCCUUCCCCCUCUGCCUGCCUGUGGCCACUCCGGCUGCAGAGGAGACUGGCAGACGACGUUCUCAUCCCUGGUCGGGGCAAAAGUUCUGCUCAAAUAUGACAACGGUGAAACUCGGAAUAGCGACAGAGCCAACCCAUGAUUGAGGCAGGGCUGGAGGCUUUCUGGAAAACGCACGGAGAAACACGAGGGCCCAGCUGUGCCCUGGGCCGCCCCAUGAGUCCAGCCUUCUUCGUCCUAGUCCCUUCUCCAAAGAAAGGACAAAACCACUGAAAGGGUUCGUCUGGGUCACAAACGUCCCAAAUUGGCUUCCGCGUGGAAACUAAACAAGGGUAGGUCCCAGCCCCUGGGAUUCAGGUGAAACCCGAGGCCUGUCUGAGGUCACAGCGUCUUCCCGAGGACGUCAGCCCUGUUGGCUGUGUCUGGGGCCAGGCUGAGGCAUAGCGGGCCAGGAGGCCGAGCUUCCCAAAGGAGCUGCACUGUCUUUUCCUUAGAAUAUGAAAUCAAUGUCUGCCACCUUGAAUCCUCAUGGACAAGACUCCUUGGAAGCCAGCCUGUGUCAGGGCCAGCGUCCCCCAGGGCUGACACCUACACCCUCGCAUUCUCAGCGUGACUCGGGACAGUGGCAGAACCCGCUGGGUUCUCUCUACGGGAGUGCUUUUUUUUUUUCUUUUCUUUUUUUUUUUUUUUUUUUUUUUUGAGUCGGAGUUUCACUCUUGUUGCCCAGGCUGGAGUACAAUGGUGUGAUCUCGGCUCACUGCAACCUCCACCUCCUGGGUUCAAGCAGUUCUCCUGUCUCAGCCUCCCGAGUAGCUGGGAUUACAGGUGCACACCACCAUGCCUGGCUAAUUUUUGUAUUUUUAGUAGAGAUGAGGUUUCACGGUGUUGGCCAAGCUGGUCUCGAACUCCUGACCUCAAGUGAUCCACCUGCCUUGGCCUCCCGAAGUGCUGGGAUUUCUGGCGUGAGCCACCGCACCCAGCUCGGAGUGCGUUAUGACUAGAGGCAAAGACAGCAGCAUGAUCUUCAGCUUGCAAAUGAGACACAGAAUGACAAUGAAUCUUCACCGAAGUUAACUUGAACCUGGAUGGAUGAGUGGCCGGGUCGCCAAAAAGCUCCUCGGACCCUGCCAGAGUGUGAGCUCUGCCAGGAGGGCCGGGGCUCCAGGAUCCCAGGCUGGGCAGUCACUGGCUCCCCCAGGAAGGGCCACAUUCCGGUGGGCAGACAGAGGGUUGGGGAGGGUGGUGGGCAGCCAGCCGCCUGGAUCCCGGCCGGGGCACCGUCCCGCAGAGCUUGUCCCGCACAGACUCAGUUUCCUAACCCAGCAAGUGGGAGUCCACUGUGAGAAGUCCAGCCCUACGCAGAUGCGUGCGAAUCCCCUAAGAGCCAUGCCUGAGCCCUUGGCGGAAGCAGUUGGCUCCUCGUGUCAUGCAAAGGGCGGCAUUUUCAUUCCUAACAGGGAGGUGGCCCCGGAGCAUCCAGUUCAAAGGAGCUAGGAUGAUCCAGGGUCCUCUCACGUGGGCCUUGGUGAGUGGCCACACCCUCUGAGACCCCCUUUCAUCCCCAUAGAAAGGUCCUAGCAGGGCUGUGCCAGGGGGAUCCGCGGGUGGCAGGGUGGCCCCAUCUGCAGUGGGCCCAGGAGGAUAGCAACAGGACUUAGCAGUGGUGGGAUUGUAUUUCUGGGCCCUUCUUCCCCCACAGCCCACAGCCUCCUGACGGGACCCCUCCCCCCAGAACCUGAAGGACGGACCUCAGGUGUGGAGCUCCCUCACCAGACAGAGGGGAGGAGCCCAGGUCCAUCUCCUCAAAGGGACCCACCAGCCCCUCACGCGGCUGCACACAAGGCAGUCCCAGCCAGGCCCCAGGUUGAGGCAGACUCAGCCUAUGUCCUCAAGAGGCUCCCUGGAGAAGGCAGGACCCAGAAGCUUCUCUCUCGGCUGACAUGGCCUUUGCGGGCAGCCUUCCCACCCACAUCCCCAGCAUGAGCCCCAGCUCCUUGGAGCCCAGAGUCCAAGAAAUGGCCUUUCUGCCACUGACCCCUCCCGUGGAAUGGCUCCUCCCGAGCAGGGAACCUCUGCUGGGACCCGUCAGCUGCAAGAAGGCCCGUCCCCGAGAGAGCCCUGCAGGGCAAGGGGAGAGGGACCCCGGGGUAGGGGUGGAGAGCAGCUGAGGGGACAGACACAGAGAAGACCAGGCAGGGGCAUAGCCUGCUGAUGGGGGAUGCCAUCCUCUCGGUCACAGCUGAGCCAGGGCAGCCUCUAAGCUUCCUAAGUGGGGAAACCAAGGCAGAGAACCCCAGGACUGGGGCCACCGCUGUGGUCAGCCGGUUGGGGGUGGCCUGGGCCUCUCCAGUCUCCACUCUUCCAUCCAGCUUCAUGGGGAGCAACAUUUUUUUCACCUCAAGGCCAAAUUAGGAAGAACAAACAUGUUUUAUUUAUCAGUGUCACUUUUUUUUUUUUUUGUUUUAGAGACAGGGGUCUCACUAUGUUGCCCAGGUUGGACUUGAAUUCCUGGGCUCAAACAAUCCUCCUGCCUCAGCCUCCCAAGUUACUAGGACUACAGGUGCACCACUUAGUUACAUUUUUUUUAUACACGUGAAAACAGCUUUUUUGCUGGGCGCAGUGGCUCACGCCUGUAAUCCUAGCCCUUGGGGAGGCCGAGGCAGGUGGAUCACCUGAGGUCAGGAGUUCGAGACCAGCCUGGCCAACAUGGUGAAACCCCGUCUCUACUAAAAAUACAAAAAUUAGCUGGGUGUGAUGAUGGGAGCCUGUAGUCCCAUCUACUCAGGAGGCUGAGGCAGGAGAGUGGCAUGAACCAGGGAGGCGGAGGUGGCAGUGAGCCGAGAUCGCGCCAUUGCACUCCAGCCUGGGUGACAGAGUGAAACUCCAUCUCAAAAAAAAAAAAAAAAAAGAAAAGAAAAAGAAAGUAGUUUUUUUUCCCCCUAUGCUAAAAAUUCAAACAAAGCAAACAAGCAAAUUUUUAGAGAAGAAAAUUCCAUUGGCCACAAUCUGUAGCAGGGAGAGCUGUUUUUUUUGUUUUGUUUUUGUUUUUUUUUUGAGGCAGAGUCUUGCUCUGUCACCCAGACUGGAAUGCAGUGGUGCAAUCUCGGCUCACUGUAACCUCUGCCUCCCGGGUUCACGCCAUUCUCCUGCUUCAGUCUCCAAAGUAGCUGGGACUACAGGUGCCCGCCACCACGCCCAGCUAAUUUUUUGUAUUUUUAGUAGAGACGGGAUUUCACCGUAUUAGCCAGGAUGGUCUCAAUCUCCUGACCUCAUGAUCCACCUGCCUUGGCCUCCCAAAGUGCUGGGAUUACGGGCGUGAGUCACUGCACCCAGCCUGAGGGCUGUGUUUUAAAUGAAACAUGCACCUCUUUGCUCCUUGAUAUGGUUUGGCUCUGUGUACCCCCACCCCCAAUCAAGUUGUAAUCCCCACAUGAAGGAGGGACCUGGUGGAAGGUGAUUUAAUCAUGGAAUGGACUUUCCCCUUCGCUGUCUCCCUCUCCUGCUCUGGCCGUGUGAAGACAGAACCCACUUCCCCUUUGCCUUUCGCCAUGAUUUCCUGAGGCCUCCUCAGCCAUCCCUCCUGCACAGCCUGUGGGACUGUGAGCUGAUUAAACCUCUUUUCUUCAUAAAUUACCUAAUUCUCAGGUAGUUCUUUAUAGCCGUGUGAGAAGAGACUAACACAGAAAAUGGUACUGGGAGAGAGGCACUGCUCUAAAGAUGCCUGAGAAUGUGGAAGCAGCAUGGGAACUGGGUCGUGGACAGAGGCUGGGACAGUUCGAAGGGCUCAGAAGAAGACAGGAAGGUGAGGGAAAGUUUGGAACUUCCUAGAGAUUUGUUGAAUGGUUGUAACCAAAAUGCUGAUAGCGAUACGGACAGUGAAGUCCAGGCUGAGGUGAUCUCAGAUGGAGAUGAGGAACUUAUUGGGAAAGGGAGGAAAGGUCACUCUUGCUAUGCUCCAGCAAGGAGACAGGCAGCACUGUGCCCCUGCUCUAGGGAUCUGUGGAACUUUGAACUUGAGAGAGAUGAUUUAGGGUAUCUGAUGGAAGAAAUGUCUAGGCAGCAAAGCAUUCGAGAUGUGGUCUGGCUGCUUCUAAAAGCUUAUGUUUAUUUGCAUAAAGAAGGAAACGACCCAAAAUCGGAACUUAUGUUUAAAAGUGAAGCAGAACAUAAAAGUUUGAAAAUUUUGCAGCCUGACUAUGCAAUUGAAAAGUAAAACCCAUUUUCUAGGGAGGAAUUCAAGCCUGCAGAAAUUUGCAUAAGCAAAAAAGAGCCAAAUGUUAAUCACCAAGACAAUGGGGAAAAUGUCUCCAGGGCAUUUCAGAGACCUUCACAGCAGCCCCUCCCAUCACAGGCCUGGAGGCCUGGGAGGGAAAAAUGGUUUCAUGGGUCAGGCCCAGGGCCCUGCUGCUUUGUGCAGCCUUGGGACAUGGCACCCUGCAUCCCAGCCACUCUAGCUCCAGCCAUGGCUGAAAGGUAUACCUCAGACCAUUGCUUCAGAGGGUGCAAGCCCCAAGCCUUGGCAGUUUCCAUGUGCUGUUGGGCUCACAGAUGUGCAGAAAGCAAGCGUUACGGUUUUGGAGCCUCCACCUAGGUUUCAGAGGAUGUAUGGAAAUGCCUGGAUGUCCAGACAGAAGUCUGCUGCAGGGGGUGAGCCCUCAUGGAGAACCUCUACUAGAACAGUUCGGAGGGAAAAUAUGGGGUUGGAGCCCCCACACAGAGUCCCCGCUGGGGCACUGCCUAGUGGAGCAGUGAGGAGAGGGCCACUGUCCUCCAGACCCCAGAAUGGUAGAUCCACUGACAGCUUGCACUGUGUGCCUGGAAAAGCCACAGGUACUCAAUGCCAGCUUGUGAAAGCAGCCACAGGGGGCUGUAUCCUGCAGAGCCAGAGGGGUGGAGCUGCCCAAGGCCUUGGGAUCCCACCCCUUGAGUCAGUGUGGCCUGGAUGUGAGACAUGGAGUCAAAGGAUAUUGUUUUGGAGCUUUAAGAUUUAAUGACUGCUUCAGAUCACUUGAAGUCAGGAGUUUGAGAUCAGCCUGGCCAAUGUGGUGAAACCCCAUUUCUACUAAAAAUACAAAAAUUAGCUGGGCGUGGUGGCAGGUGCCUGUAAUCCCAGCUACUCGGGAGGCUGAGGCAAGAGAAUUGCUUGAACCCAGGAGGCGGAGGUUGCAGUGAGCCGAGGUCGUGCCAUUGCACUCCAGCCUGGGGGACAAGAGCAAGACUUCAUCUCAAAAAAAAAACAAAAAACCGUUUAAUGACUACCCUACUGGGUUCAGGACAUGCAUGGGGCCUGUAGGCCCUUUGUUUUGGCCAAUUUCUCCCUUUUGAAAUGGGAGCAUUUACCCAGUGCCUGUACCCACAUUGUAUC